This 393-nucleotide ribosomal RNA is filed under the name uncultured Methanosaeta sp. Its description in RNAcentral is "bacterial SSU rRNA". It matches the Rfam family "Archaeal small subunit ribosomal RNA", at positions 948 to 1338 of the family's 1478-position model. The record is from RNAcentral. Lineage: Archaea; Methanobacteriati; Methanobacteriota; Methanomicrobia; Methanotrichales; Methanotrichaceae.
UGAAGGCCAGGCUGAAGACUUUGCCGGAUUAGCUGAGAGGUGGUGCAUGGCCGUCGUCAGUUCGUACUGUGAAGCAUCCUGUUAAGUCAGGCAACGAGCGAGACCCACGCCCACAGUUGCCCAGCGUACUCUCUGGAGUGACGGGUACACUGUGGGGACCGCCGGCUGCUAAAGCGGAGGAAGGAAUGGGCAACGGUAGGUCAGUAUGCCCCGAAUAUCCCGGGCUACACGCGAGCUACAAUGGUUGGUACAAUGGGUAUCUACCCCGAAAGGGGACGGGAAUCUCCUAAAACCAAUCUUAGUUCGGAUUGAGGGCUGCAACUCGCCCUCAUGAAGCUGGAAUCCGUAGUAAUCGCGUUUCAACAGAACGCGGUGAAUACGUCCCUGCUCCUU